Molecule: long non-coding RNA, 7300 nt
Organism: Manis javanica (Malayan pangolin)
Lineage: Eukaryota; Metazoa; Chordata; Mammalia; Pholidota; Manidae
Source: RefSeq, a predicted model, not a curated record
GAGGUGGAGCUGCACCUGCCUUCACGGGAGAGACAGGCUGCAGGUACCCUCCAGCUGGCUGCUCACAAAAAUAGAAAAAAGAAAAAAAAAAAUGAGGGGAACUCGCCACACGCAUGAGGUAUGAGGGCUUGAGCAGCAGCAAAGACAACUGCAAUGGCUCACGGCUCACACGCAGUUUAAACCCAUGGUUCACUAUGACACUUAAAACCCCAGCUUUGAGGGUCCCCUUUGGGGGGACAUUUCUCAUCCUGAAGGCAGGCAGGUGAAGAAGAGGCUGCCGCCUUCCCUGCCUUUCCUGCGGGGACUGUGCCGCGAGGAGGCCUUGUAUUAACCUAUUCCGACUCACACAUGUAAAUGGAAGGAGACGAAGAGAAUCCUACCAGCCCGCACCUCCCGGGGUUUCCAGCCCUAGGGCGGUGGCUGCUGGCUCCCGCAGAGGGCCAUCUGGCCACCCUGCACCCGGCAGAGGACACGGCGGCUCCGAGGACUGGCCGGGGGACGGGGUCUGCAUGUGGGGGAGCCCCUGGCCCAGCUGCCACCUGUGGGGUGCCCACCGGCUGACAGGCUGUGUUGAGCCGCAUGCAGGGGAGGCAGCCAGUGGCACCCAGACCCAGGGCUGCUUGGCAGGUUGACGGCCGGGUCCUCACCAGGGAUGGAGAUGGCUUUGCAGGUGUAUCACCAGGGCUACCCUCCUCUCCCCAACCAGGGACACCGGGUGUCUUUGCAGGUCUCCCCAGGAGCACCUGGUGGGGUUCCUGGAUGGGAAGCCUGCCCACCAUACCCCAGGACUUCUCACUCACUGCCCCACAAUGGCCUGUGGCAGCUCCUCAGAGCCCCUCUGUGUCCCUGCCACUCACACUGCGGGGCUCCCCUCCGGGUGGGUCCCGGCUGGGCUGGUCUCCCCAAUCCCAUCUCCCACGUUUGUGGGGGCAGCUUGCCCUGCAACCUCAGCGCUCCGAGGGGCCUAAGAAGAGGCGCUGUUGUGUUGUGCAGCUGUUCCUCACCCCGAGCGUGUGGGCUGGGACCAGAAAGGUCUGCUCUCCGCCCCGUGCUGCGCCUUCUGGAUCUUAGACGUUUCCCCUCCUAUUUCCCCUCUGCCUACCGUUUCCUUUCUUAUGUUUCCUUUGGUUUUGGGCUCUUCCCUGCUAGCUAUUUAAGAAUGAAUGGGGCUCUGAGCCCAGGGUGUGCUGCCCACCCAGCUCUGCUGCUGGGAGGGGGUCUGAGAGGGAGGCAGGCAGGAGCGCUGAAGUAAAUGCUGAUGCAUUCAAGGGGAGUCCUCAGUACUGUGGGGGGCUUCACAGACCCUCUGGGAGCCCCUCCUCUUAUGAGGAGGGCCUUAAGCACCCUCAUAAGUUGGACAAAACAUGUCCUAACUCAAGUCUAUGCACAUAACGGCAAUGUCCUUGAUAUUCAGAUUCAAGGUCACCAUCAUAGACUUGUGUCUUAGAUUUAAUCAGUGCAAUAUUUGCUGAGUUGGGAAAGAAUUGGGUUUCCUUUAAAAGCAGUAAAAGUCAAGAAGAAAAAGCCAAGGAGAUUGGACAUCUAAAGGGGCAAGGUCCUCCCCUUACUUGGGAAAUUGUCUUCCGCUGCGCCCAAAGCGCCGAGGCCACGGAGCUGGGUUCCCUGCAGACAGGACAUCUCCACUGAUCUCAGCAGAGCUUCGUGCCCACCCAGGACUUGCCGGCUCCUCCUGGCAGCCGCUGCCGCAUGGCCAGCAUUGACCUUUGCCUGGUCAGGAGAGGCCUUCGUGACCCACUUGGCUCGGCUCGGAGGGGCCUUUUCCUUCUGGUCUUUUCCUUACUGUGGCGGCAGGCACGGGGCAGGUGCGUGACCACCGGAUGCCCACCUCUGGGGAGGCUCAUGGGUGUGGACUCAUCCUCGGAACCUCACCCAGGCCCUUGAGGGGAGCGGGGAGCUAACAGAUACCAACAGAAAGCGCAAGAGAACUUACGGAGUGUUUGCCUCAUGCCUUCAUGUGCCUGAUCUCGGUGACACAGAAAUGUGGUGUGCAAUGGGCACCAGGGAGGGGCCGGGCAGCUGUCGGGAAGCCUGCAGCCUGACCUCUUCAUCCCGUCCGACCCCCAGCUCUGUAAACAACUUGCCGUCCAUACGAACAUACCUGAGGUCUGCGCUUCUGCCCCGCCCUGCGGACCGGACCCUAUUCACGCAAGCAGGCUGUGUUGAAAGCCCCAAACUCACCUUCUCACAACACAAAACAGCCUUCCGUGGCCGGGAGCCACAGUCCAGCUCACUCGAGUCUAUCAGUCCUGGGGCGACUUCUUCAACCCCCAUCCAGCACGACGCCAGCUGUCCGUCUGGUGUCCCCCCGUGUCCUCUCCAGUCUUCCUAGGUCACUUUUCAUAUUUGCAAGAAAACAAUCCUGCAUGGCUGUGUGGGGACACCUGACAGGUGCGGAGGGGAGCAGGCCCUGCUCCACUGCAGGCAUCUUUCUAGGGCAGGAAGUGAUUUAAUCUCUGGUCUAUUAAAACAUUUCUAGUGCUGUCCCCAGCAUAUUGGGGAAAAUUUGGAAGCUGAAAUUACAAAAAAAAAUUUAAAAGCACCCAUGGCGGGCAACCAUUUCUAACUUAUUUGUAUUCCCUGAAGGCCUGAGCUUUUCUAUAAUGAAACUGUCACCUGGAAGUAGGGAAAAGCCACACAGGGCGGGGCUGGUUGUGGGGACACAGUGCAAGAAUCUGGGACAGGCCCGGAUCCCUCAACCAGCUGGUCAUGGGUUUAGGUCAUGGCCCUGCUGCCCAGUGGCUGAGGGGCCAUGGGAAGUUGUCUCAGCUUCCCUAUAGGUACAACAAGGCAAUGGUUCCUGCCACCAACGGUUAUUGAGGCAACCGUGUGACAUUAUGGUUCAUAGUAAGCCUCUAAUCAAUGACAACAUCCACUCUCCACCUUUCAAAAUCUAAAGGGUGCUUGCCACCCUUGGGCAUGAUGGAGGUAACCAGCGUUCACAGCCUCAGUGGGCACCUCCCUCAGGAUGCAGGGGCCACAUGACUGAGGGGACACAACCAUGCCUGCCAGGCCUUCUGGGGCAGUCCCCAUUCCCUGGUCACACACGCGUCCCGAGGACCCUCUGGAAAGUUGGGUCCAUGUGACUGUGGAUCUUGGAGGUGCUGUUCGGAAGCAUCUGGACCAUGGCCAGGCUGCCCAUCCGGCUGUCCUACUGUGCAGGUAGGAAAAUAGGAGAGACUCCCCCGAGCACCCCAAAGCCCCAGGCAGCCUUUCUCUCCACAGAGCACGUCUCCCUGCUGAGCACCUGCCCUGCCAGGCAGGCCCUGCAGCGUGCAGGUGUGCGGGCAGCUGGUCAGUGAGACCCAGCCCUGCCCUCCUGGUUCUUGUCCAGUGGGGGUGCAGGUGAGGAGGCGCCCCGGGAAAAAGGGCCCUGCAGGGUAGGAGGCUUCCUGGUCUCCUGUUGUCAUUGGUUAGAGGCGUACUAGAGGAGACACCCUUCUCUCCACUGGGCAGUAAACUGAUCAACGGGUUCCUUUCAUAAGGCAUGCGGUAAGCAUGAGUCUCCACCAGAUCUGUCGUUCCUGUUUCGGAUAAUAGGAGUGGCACCGGGCAAUGGCCUGUCAGCCUUCUGCCAGCGCGCUCUUCUUUCCAAACUGCUUCCUGGUGUGGAGCCGCACCCCCUCCUUUCCCAGGACUGGCUUGGAAGUUGACGAGACCCUCCAAGAACAGGAUGACCGCAGGCUCCCCCUGAGGGGCUGCGGCAAAGGGCCAGCUGGUGGCAGGCUCCCGUCAUGGAGACGGGUGCGAACACUGGAGCAUCACUGCAGGCCUCUGCAGCCCCCGCUGGAACGUUCACACGUGAUCUCCUGGGGAGGGAGCUGCUCCGGGGAUGGUGGCUCAUUGCCACCCUGCCCCAUGGGGGCCAUUGGCCAUCUGUGGAGGAAGGACCCUGGUCCUGCCUGCUGUUUCCAGCGUGGGGGUGUCUGGGUCCUGGUGCUGACAUACGUAAGCCAAGGCCGGAGGGAGCCAGCUUGGUGAUGCAACGUGGGCAGCAGGCUGGAGGGGGUAUAGAUCCCUACAAAGUUGAGUAUUAGAUACCCAAUAGGUACCUGGGGCUGAAAAUGGUCCUAACUGGGCCAGCUUCUUGUCCUCCACCGUUCACAAAUCCCAUAGAGGUGGCCACACUGACCCUGAGCCGGAAACCUGGGGUGCUAGAUUGCAAACAAUGGCAGUAAGCGGUUUCUACCCCACAUGCCUGCACCUUUGCAAAGUGACUUUGCUGCUCGUCCAGUCAGGCAGGGGGUUGAUUUCCACCCCUUGACCUUGUGACUUGCUUUGGCCAACUGGACAUCAGCAAGCAUGAUGUAAGAAGGCACUUCAAUGUCCUUGCACAUCGGGGUUUGCUGAUCUUUGGAGCCCUGAGACGACCAUGUGAAGAAGUCCAGGCUAGCAGAAUGGAGACCGACGGGCCCCCGGGGCAGGAACGAGCCUUCCCAGCCGAGGUCCUCAUCUUGAUCAUCCGGCCACCAGCCAACCGCUAACUGCAGGUGCAUGAGACCAGCUGAGCCUGUUAGGAGAACAGUCCAGCCGAGCCCACUCUGAACUGCUGACCUAGAGAAGGAUGAGCAAAUGAAAUGGUGGUGGUUUUCAGCCACUGGUUUGGGGUUGGUUUGUGAUGCAGUUAAAAACUGACUGACACAGAACCUGGAUGCGGAGUGGGGGGCUUCUGUCCACAAACCUAAAGCAUGUGGCCUUAGUUUUGGGACCAGGCCCUGGGAAUAAAUAGAAAGGUGGCAGGGAAUCGAUCAGCAAAAGCUGGAAAAAUGGCGAAUUGUUAGUGGGGUCUGGGAAGACAGUAAAAAAAUGCUAUAGCUGAGGGAAAAAUGGUAUUACACAAUCACUAGACAAUUGCCAAAAUGUUGUCUGUUGUAACUGAGAAGAUGGAAAAUACACGUGGUAAAUUUGUGGACCCAGCCAAGAAGAUUUCAAGGUAGCAUCUGAAAUUGUCAGGUGGCUUCUUUUAGCUCUGUGAGAGCCAGGAAGAGGCACAUGGGCUAAAAUGAGAGCCUCUCUGUUUGCAAGCAUAAUUUAGGGAAAACAGGCACCUGGAUUAAAAACUAUAAACAUUUCCCAUCUCAAAUCUCUCCACCUGGCAAAAGAUGAUAAUAGUAAGAAAUGGCCACAGGAUAAAGAUCACAUCAAACAGGCAGCUUAAGCUCCUUUGUCAAGACCUCAGAAAGAUUCCAGGCACUGGCUAGGACAUCCUCCCAGAUGGACGGGAGAGCUUCUAAGAAUCCCAACAGCGCUGUCCCGUGGGCCCUUCCCAUCCUGCCCAAAGCAGAGAGAGGCCCAUCUAGAGAACUGUGGGUGUGACUGCUGCUGAAUGGAAAGGACUAAACUCAGAUUCACAAGAAACCCACGCAGUUUUAAAGAGUUCUACUAGAAGCACCACAGUGUGAAACGCACAGGGCAUCCAGAGGCCCUGCUCUCUGAGCAGCACCAAGAGGGGGAACACCGGCGGCUGCCAGGGGCUGUUUCCCGUGGGCCCGCACGGACUCCUCGGGCUCCUCAGUGGCAGUGCGCUGCAGUCCGCCUACUCGGUGUGUUCUCACCCCCCGCCCCAUGUGCGCUCCCUCAGGUGGCCCCCACAUACGUUCCCCACAUCCAAGUCCUUCUCCCAGGGUCUGAUUUUGGAAAAACCAGACUAUGAUGCUGGGUGCCCUUAUUUCGUCCUUGACCUUAGUGGAAAGUCCUCUAGUGUUUUCCAGCUUGUAUGAUGCUGGGUAAUUUCUCCUUAGAGCAACCCUGCGCCUGGUGAGAGGAGAUGUGCAGGGAAAAGCUGAGGAGUCCUUUGAGGGUCCUGGCCAGUGAGGAAGUUGGGUAGGACACAGCACUGGUGCCCUCGGGCCGUGGUGUCUAAUUCAGUGCUUAAAAAUUGUUGCCUAUACAGUAGUGCCACCUCCUGCCAUUUCCCUAAACUUUCAAUAAAAGUCUGCUUUCCAUGAAAAAAAGCAUGAUGCUGGAAGACAGGUAUGCAGCAUCCAACUGUUCUCUUAUCAAGUUUUUUUUUUAAGGAUUAGUUGUUAAAUUCUGUCAAGUUCUGCUUUAAGAACAUCACAAUUUAUUGGUUGUUGUCCUGAUGGACUAUUAUGCAUGUUCUUGUGCAUGAGUGCCAGGAAACUUGUCCAUGCAUUUUAGGGGGCAUAUAUGGUGGGCAUCUUUGCACUGUUACGAGACACCACCAGUUUUCCAAAGGGGUUCUACCAUCAGGUUCCCCCCAGCAGUGCCUGUGGGGCUGAGCUCACCCACACUGUUGUCAACAUUGCUAUUGUUAGUUUUUCUUACUUUCAGUCAUUAACCGGAUGUGAGGUGUAUUUCAUUAUAUAUUUAAUUUUCAUUUCCAUGACUACCAAAGAUGCUGAGUGUUUUUUCCCAUGGUUAGUGGUCACUGGAUACACUCUUUGGUGAAGUUCCUGUCCAAGUCUCUUGUGUGUUUUUUUCAUGGUGUUAACUAUCUUUUUCUUAUUAACAGAUUAAAAAAUAGUAAUCUGGAAAUGACUAUUUUUUGGUUACAUACAUUGCAACUAUAUCCUGCUCUCUAGCUUGCCUUUCAUCCUUUGCAGGGCAACUUUUGAUGAAGAGAAGCUCUCAGUUUUAAGGUAGCUAAAGUUUCCAACAUUUUCCUUUAUGGUUAACUUUUUUUCCUUUGCCCACUCUGAGGUUAAAAAAAAUUUUUUUUUAAUGUUAUCUUUUAAAAUCUUUAUAUUUUUGCUUUUCACAUUUAGUUCUACAAUCCACAUGGGAUUGAUAUCUUGCAUAGUGUAACUCUAAAAAAUACGAACAUUUAUUUUGCCCAGAAUCAUUAAUUGAAAUAAUUCCCUCAUCAAUGCUCUGCAGUGCCACCUUCGUCAUAAAUCAGGUGUCCAUUUACGGGAACAUUUGUUCUGUACUCCCAGAAACAAAUUUGCCCGACCACACUGUCUUACUUUCUUGAUUACUGUCUUAUUAAUUCAGCAGUUGGUGGACAUUCUAAUUUGGGGCAAUUAUGUCUUAUUAAUUCAGCAGUUGGAUAUACCAGUUAGUUUUUCAUUCACCAGCGGUUGGGCAUUUGGGUUGUUUUCAGUUUUAGGCUAUUAUAAAUAAGGCUGCUAUAAAUAGUGUACAAGUCUUUGUAUGGAAAUAUGUAUUUCUUUUUCUCAGGUAGAUAUCAAGGAAUGGAAUCAUUGGGUUGUACGGUAGGUUUAUGCAAAAUUGCCGAAUUGUUUUCUGAAGUGGCUGAACCAUUCUGCAUUCCUGCCAGCGAUGAGUGAGUCCCAGUCUCCACAUCCUUCUCUGUUCU